CAUAUGAUACAGUGAAUGAACCAAGUAUCUUUAUAAAAUUGAUGGAGAAAGUCAAUAUUGACGAAUUUUAUAUACCAUCAAUUCAAGAAGCUAUCCAGAGGGCUUUUAAGCGACAGAAUCUACAAAAUAUCAAAAGUAACUACUUACAAAAUGAUCACUAUGUUGAAGCAAAAACAGCGGUUCAACAUACUAUGCAAAUAUAUAAAAGCAAACCUGAGACAGCGGAAUUAAAUAUUUUGACGCAUCUAAAACCAUG
Molecule: unclassified non-coding RNA, 256 nt
Filed under: Melitaea cinxia (Glanville fritillary)
Lineage: Eukaryota; Metazoa; Arthropoda; Insecta; Lepidoptera; Nymphalidae
Description: misc RNA ENSMCXG00005016842.1
Source: RNAcentral